CCUACGGGUGGCAGCAGUCGAGAAUCAUUCACCAUGGGGGAAACCCUGAUGGUGCGACGCCGCGUGGGGGAAUGAAGGUCUUCGGAUUGUAAACCUCUGUCAUGUGGGAGCAAAUUAAAAAGAUAGUACCACAAGAGGAAGAGACGGCUAACUCUGUGCCAGCAGCCUCGGUAAUACAGAGGUCUCAAGCGUGGUUCGGAAUCACGGGGCGUAAAGCGUGCGUAGGCUGUUUCGUAAGUCGUGUGUGAAAGGCGCGGGCUCAACCCGCGGACGGCACAUGAUACUGGGAGACUAGAGUAAGGGAAGGGGAAGCGGAAUUCGCGGUGUAGCAGUGAAAUGCGUAGAUAUCGAGAGGAACACUCGUGGCGAAGGCGGGUUCCUGGACAUUAACUGACGCUGAGGCACGAAGGCCAGGGGAGCGAAAGGGAUUAGAUACCCUUGUAGUC
This 446-nucleotide ribosomal RNA is filed under the name uncultured bacterium. Its description in RNAcentral is "partial 16S ribosomal RNA". It matches the Rfam family "Bacterial small subunit ribosomal RNA", at positions 338 to 795 of the family's 1533-position model. The record is from RNAcentral.